CAUAGCUCAGCGGUAGAGUGCCUCCCUUGCAAGGAGGAUGCCCUGGGUUCGAAUCCCAGUGA
This 62-nucleotide transfer RNA is filed under the name Halorubrum aidingense JCM 13560. RNAcentral's name for it is "tRNA-Ala". It matches the Rfam family "tRNA", at positions 6 to 65 of the family's 71-position model. From Rfam's summary of the family: Transfer RNA (tRNA) molecules are approximately 80 nucleotides in length. Their secondary structure includes four short double-helical elements and three loops (D, anti-codon, and T loops). The record is from RNAcentral. Lineage: Archaea; Methanobacteriati; Methanobacteriota; Halobacteria; Halobacteriales; Haloferacaceae.